UCUCAGUAACACGUAGUCAACAUGCCCAGGGGACGUGGAUAACCUCGGGAAACUGAGGAUAAACCGCGAUAGGUCAUCACUUCUGGAAUGGGUAAUGACUUAAAUCUAUAUGGCCCCCGGAUUGGACUGCGGCCGAUCAGGCUGUUGGUGAGGUAAUGGCCCACCAAACCUGUAACCGGUACGGGCUCUGAGAGGAGGAGCCCGGAGAUGGGCACUGAGACAAGGGCCCAGGCCCUAUGGGGCGCAGCAGGCGCGAAACCUCUGCAAUAGGCGAAAGCUUGACAGGGUUACUCUGAGUGAUUUCCGUUAAGGAGAUCUUUUGGCACCUCUAAAAAUGGUGCAGAAUAAGGGGUGGGCAAGUCUGGUGUCAGCCGCCGCGGUAAUACCAGCACCCCGAGUGGUCGGGACGUUUAUUGGGCCUAAAGCAUCCGUAGCCGGUUCUACAAGUCUUCCGUUAAAUCCACCUGCUUAACAGAUGGGCUGCGGAAGAUACUAUAGAGCUAGGAGGCGGGAGAGGCAAGCGGUACUCGAUGGGUAGGGGUAAAAUCCGUUGAUCCAUUGAAGACCACCAGUGGCGAAGGCGGCUUGCCAGAACGCGCUCGACGGUGAGGGAUGAAAGCUGGGGGAGUAAACCGGAUUAGAUACCCGGGUAGUCCCAGCUGUAAACGAUGCAGACUCGGUGAUGAGUUGGCUUAUUGCUAACUCAGUGCCGCAGGGAAGCCGUUAAGUUUGCCGCCUGGGGAGUACGGUCGCAAGACUGAAACUUAAAGGAAUUGGCGG
RNAcentral lists this ribosomal RNA (780 nucleotides) under uncultured crenarchaeote TREC89-11. Its description in RNAcentral is "bacterial SSU rRNA". It matches the Rfam family "Archaeal small subunit ribosomal RNA", at positions 88 to 871 of the family's 1478-position model. The record is from RNAcentral. Lineage: Archaea; Thermoproteati; Thermoproteota.